RNAcentral lists this long non-coding RNA (855 nucleotides) under Homo sapiens (human). RNAcentral describes it as "non-protein coding lnc-FGL2-7:1". Lineage: Eukaryota; Metazoa; Chordata; Mammalia; Primates; Hominidae. The record is from RNAcentral.
AGAUGCAGAAGCAUUACACAGUGGCCUGGUUUCUUUACUCAGCCCCUGGGGUAGAUCCCAGCCCCCCAUGUAGGUCCCUUGGCUGGAAAAGGAAGAAGGAGUGGUCAGAUGAAUCUGAGGAGGAGCCGGAGAAGGAGCUCGCCCCUGAGCCUGAGGAGACCUGGGUAGUGGAGAUGCUGUGUGGGCUCAAGAUGAAGCUGAAGCAACAGCGAGUGUCACCCAUCCUCCCUGAGCACCACAAGGACUUCAACAGUCACAGCCCCUGGGGUAGAUCCCAGCCCCCCGCAUAGGUCCUUUUGCUGGAAAAGGAAGAGGGAGUGGUGGGACGAAUCUGAGGAGUCGUUGGAGGAGGAGCCACGGAAGGUGCUCGCCCCUGAGCCUGAGGAGAUCUGGGUGGCGGAGAUGCUGUGUGGCCUCAAGAUGAAGCUGAAGCGACGGCGAGUGUCGCUCGUGCUCCCUGAGCACCACGAGGCCUUCAACAGGAGAGGAUCCUGUCAUUAAAAGAUUCCUGGCCUGGGACAAAGAUCUGAGGGUGUCGGACAGUAUCUCCUGGCUAUGGUCAUAGCGUAUUUCAGCCGGGCCGGCCUCCCCUCCUGGCAAUACCAACGCAUUCAUUUCUUCCUGGCCAGCUACCUGGCCAAUGACAUGGAGGAGGACGACGAGGACCCCAAACAAAACAUCUUCUACUUCCUGUAUGGGAAGACCCGCUCUCGCAUACUCAGAUAGCCCUGUUCCAGAAACUUCGGUUCCAGUUCUUCUGUUCCAUGAGCGGCAGGGCUUGGGUUUCCCGGGAGGAGUUGAGAUCCAGGCUUAUGACCCAGAGCACUGGGUGUGGGCGCGAGAUCGCGCUCGCCU